This 330-nucleotide long non-coding RNA is filed under the name Cyanistes caeruleus (blue tit). RNAcentral describes it as "lncRNA (ENSCCEG00000018248.1)". Lineage: Eukaryota; Metazoa; Chordata; Aves; Passeriformes; Paridae. The record is from RNAcentral.
UAAUGAUGGUCACAGUAUGUGUGGGGAAUCUCUUCACAGAGUUUUGGGAAGGACUCCAUUGAUUCAGUGCACACUGGAAUCCUGUGGGUUCACAGUCUGACCGUCUCACAGCAGAGAAAAAACAGGCAAGAGUGGUGGAGUCAGUGAGCUGAAACAUAACGUCACUAACAGCUGUCCACUACCUGCAAGGAGACCUUCUGGAAAAGGCCUUUAGGAGCUCUGUGCUUCUGGAUCAUGGCUCUUUUCCUUGUUUGCUCUGACAGAAAGUCAUCUUCAGGAACAUCUCAGCUCUUUGAAGGCAAAUCGCUUACCAAAAACGUGCUUGGAUAA